RNAcentral lists this ribosomal RNA (301 nucleotides) under uncultured bacterium. RNAcentral's name for it is "partial 16S ribosomal RNA". It matches the Rfam family "Bacterial small subunit ribosomal RNA", at positions 509 to 809 of the family's 1533-position model. The record is from RNAcentral.
CAGUCGCCGCGGUAAUACAGAGGGUGCGAGCGUUAAUCGGAUUUACUGGGCGUAAAGCGUGCGUAGGCGGCUAAUUGAGUCGGAUGUGAAAUCCCCGAGCUUAACUUGGGAAUUGCAUUCGAUACUGGUUAGCUAGAGUGUGGGAGAGGAUGGUAGAAUUCCAGGUGUAGCGGUGAAAUGCGUAGAGAUCUGGAGUAAUACCGAUGGCGAAGGCAGCCAUCUGGCCUAACACUGACGCUGAGGUACGAAAGCAUGGGGAGCAAACAGGAUUAGAUACCCCCGUAGUCCCUGUCUCUUAUAA